RNAcentral lists this small RNA (348 nucleotides) under Tyzzerella sp. OttesenSCG-928-J15. RNAcentral's name for it is "transfer-messenger RNA". It matches the Rfam family "transfer-messenger RNA". From Rfam's summary of the family: Bacterial tmRNA, also known as 10Sa RNA or SsrA, is named for its dual tRNA and mRNA-like properties. Its role is to liberate the mRNA from a stalled ribosome. The record is from RNAcentral. Lineage: Bacteria; Bacillati; Bacillota; Clostridia; Lachnospirales; Lachnospiraceae.
GGGGAUGUACUGGUUUCGACGGGGAUUGUGAGUGCAGGAAUAGCCAUCCGCAGCGGGAACUGCGAUAAAAGCCCACCAAAAAAUUAAUCGACAACGAUAAUUUAGUUUUAGCAGCCGCUUAAGGCCGCUCGUCAGUCUUAGGUCUUCUGUCGCUUAAGAGUCUGGCGCCGACAGACAGAGAACUUUUGCGCAUAAGCUUUGCUGCGUAAAAAGAACCUAUGAAGCUACCAAAACAUAGCGCUUGUUCGUUUGUGCUAUGCAGCGGGAAUUUCUAAAAACGAACUGUGAUGGGAGAAGUUUUUGUAAUCAGAUUUUCGGACAGGGGUUCGAUUCCCCUCAUCUCCAUAG